This 225-nucleotide unclassified non-coding RNA is filed under the name Hevea brasiliensis (rubber tree). Lineage: Eukaryota; Viridiplantae; Streptophyta; Magnoliopsida; Malpighiales; Euphorbiaceae. The record is from RNAcentral.
GGAAGCUAAGCUAAACCAAUCGAAGGCCACGGCCAUGGCUGCCGCUCCAGCCACCACGUCACUGCUGAGCGCGCUGCUGCAGCUUCCCCUGGCCCCGUUCUCCGGGAGGAGGUCGCCGCCGCCGCCGUCGGUGGUCCACGUGGCGCCCCCGCGCUCGCCGACGGCGGCGGUCGCGGCGACCAAGGGGUACAAUGUGCAGAUCGUGGUGGACGAGAACGAGGGGGA